GGGAGUUAUACAAGUUCAAAGGCAGAUUUGAUUGUCAUGCUUGUGUAACAAAUUUUCAAUAGCCAUCACCCAAACAAAACUAAACUCUACAAUCCCAUCCAAGGUCAGUAUAACGUCUUAGAAACAAAUAAUCCAGGCAAUGUGUCAACACCAUUCUAAGAAGUGAAAUCUGACAACCUAAAUUAUGGCAAAAUUUGCUUCUUAUUUGAA
This 210-nucleotide unclassified non-coding RNA is filed under the name Hevea brasiliensis (rubber tree). The record is from RNAcentral. Lineage: Eukaryota; Viridiplantae; Streptophyta; Magnoliopsida; Malpighiales; Euphorbiaceae.